GAUCCUGGCUCAGGAUGAACGCUAGCUACAGGCUUAACACAUGCAAGUCGAGGGGCAGCAUGUUGGUUGCUUGCAACCGAUGAUGGCGACCGGCGCACGGGUGAGUAACGCGUAUCCAACCUACCCUUGUCCAUCGGAUAACCCGUCCGAAAGGCGGGCCUAACACGAUAUGCGGUUCACAGCAGGCGAUCUAACGUGAACGAAAUAGUGAGGAGAAGGAUGGGGAGUGCGU
RNAcentral lists this ribosomal RNA (232 nucleotides) under uncultured bacterium. RNAcentral describes it as "partial 16S ribosomal RNA". It matches the Rfam family "Bacterial small subunit ribosomal RNA", at positions 15 to 236 of the family's 1533-position model. The record is from RNAcentral.